UGGUCAUAGUCUUCUUGUAAUAUAGGCAUAGAAAAGAGAUGGUAGUUCCUGAGGUGGAGUGCUGAAUGUAUGUAGGCUAUUAAAUGUUGAGAGGAAGCUGGGAUGCAUGUGUCAGUAAAGGAGUCUUUCUGGGACCAUAUGAACAACAAACAUGGACAGAGAUUUUUUUAUUAGCUCUCAUGCAAUCAAUGUAAUAAACCUCAUUUGGUAAUUUCAGGUUUGAACUGGUGCCCUGCAGCAUGCCAGCCAGCAAUACUAACCACUACAUCACUAGUGUGUGCAUCGCAGUACAUGGCAAUAUGGAGGCAAAUGUACUGAGCCUCAGCCAGACAGUACAGUCCUACAUCUAAAUCUACAUCUGUAACCUGCAAACCACUGUGAAGUGCACAUCAAGUGAUACUUCCCAUUCAAGUGCACCCAGACUCUCAGCAAAAGGAAAAAGGUAUCUCAACAAUGCAGCUAGAUACCUCAUAAACAGCUGAUAGUUUCCUAGAUGGGUCUGCAGACUGUUACAAUUACAAGAGAAGUAUUCUGUAGUAACACCUCAUGAAAACAUGCU
This 559-nucleotide long non-coding RNA is filed under the name Schistocerca americana (American grasshopper). RNAcentral describes it as "uncharacterized LOC124613963, transcript variant X1". Lineage: Eukaryota; Metazoa; Arthropoda; Insecta; Orthoptera; Acrididae. The record is from RNAcentral.